AUCCAGCUGAUGAGUUCAAAAUAGGACGAAACGCAUAUCAAACUGGAU
Non-coding RNA from Schistosoma rodhaini, 48 nucleotides. Lineage: Eukaryota; Metazoa; Platyhelminthes; Trematoda; Strigeidida; Schistosomatidae. The record is from Rfam.